AUGAACGCUGGCGGCGUGCCUAAUACAUGCAAGUCGAGCGAACGGACGAGAAGCUUGCUUCUCUGAUGUUAGCGGCGGACGGGUGAGUAACACGUGGAUAACCUACCUAUAAGACUGGGAUAACUUCGGGAAACCGUAGCUAAUACCGGAUAAUAUUUUGAACCGCAUGGUUCAAAAGUGAAAGACGGUCUUGCUGUCACUUAUAGAUGGAUCCGCGCUGCAUUAGCUAGUUGGUAAGGUAACGGCUUACCAAGGCAACGAUGCAUAGCCGACCUGAGAGGGUGAUCGGCCACACUGGAACUGAGACACGGUCCAGACUCCUACGGGAGGCAGCAGUAGGGAAUCUUCCGCAAUGGGCGAAAGCCUGACGGAGCAACGCCGCGUGAGUGAUGAAGGUCUUCGGAUCGUAAAACUCUGCUAUUAGGGAAGAACAUAUGUGUAAGUAACUGUGCACAUCUUGACGGUACCUAAUCAGAAAGCCACGGCUAACUACGUG
Molecule: ribosomal RNA, 496 nt
Filed under: uncultured bacterium
Lineage: Bacteria
Description: partial 16S ribosomal RNA
Rfam family: Bacterial small subunit ribosomal RNA
Source: RNAcentral